Molecule: long non-coding RNA, 4559 nt
Organism: Brassica rapa (field mustard)
Lineage: Eukaryota; Viridiplantae; Streptophyta; Magnoliopsida; Brassicales; Brassicaceae
Source: RefSeq, a predicted model, not a curated record
UAUUUAUUUUUUUGCUAAAAAAUAAACAUCUAUUUUAUUAAAGUGUAAGUACCAUUUCCACUUAACUAUUAAUUCACCUAAUUAUUUACAUUUCAUGCCACUGAGAACCUAACUAAUCCUACAUUUUAGCAUUAGUUGUUAUUUUGUCAUUUAAUUUAAUCAUAAAACAUUAUCUUAAUUUACAUAAAAUGGUUUUCCGUUGGUGCUGAAAUUAAUUAAUUUAGAACAUAACUCAUAUUCAACUAAACAAUAUCAAAAUCAAUUUAAUUGUAGCAGUAGCAUGUCGAAUACAUAAAUUAAUUAUCAUUCUAAACGAAAAUCACUUUAUAAUGGAUUACUAGAUUUUGACCCGCGCUUUGAAAGCGCGGGAUUUGUUUUCAAAAUGCGGAGAUUUGUUUUUGUUAACAUAUCAAAACAUAUAUACUGCGGUUGUAUUUUAUAGGAAACAAAAUUGUAAGAUUCCCAAUACCCGGGUUAUAUUUCGAGAUACAUGAUUGAGAAAAUUGUUCUUAUUUUUUACUUAGUACAACAUAUCAUAGGCAUGGGCACUCGGGUCCUUGGAUCGGGUUUGGACCGGGUCUUGUCGGUUCGGAUCCUUCGGGUUUUGGAAAUCUAGAUCCUUAUAGAUAUCUAUAAUUUUUUGAGUCGGUUACGGGUCGAGUCUUGUCGGAUCCGGAUCAGUUCGGAUCUACAAUUCUAAUACCCGUAAAAUACCUACAGUUUUUGAGUAUAUUUCGGAUUUGGGUUGGUUCAGAUAUUUAGGAACCGAAAUACCCGGACUGGACCCGACAACUCGAAAUAUACCGAAAACUCUAAAAAUAUCCAAAGAACCGCAAAAAUACAUGAAAAUUUAUCCAAAAUCAGACCCGAAAACCCAAAAGAUACCCAAAAUUUUAACUAAGUACCCGAAUUAUAUUUUUUGAAAAUCUAAUUUUACCCGAAAAAUAAAAUUAUGCCCAAAAACCGAAUCUGAAACUUUAAGGAAUAUCCAAAAUAUAAAAAUAUACCCAAUCACUUAAAUAUAUCUGAUACACACAAUAAUAUUUGGGUACUUGGGUAGCCGAUCGAGUCUCGGAUAGGACCCGUACACGAACCGAGAUCCGCAGUUAUAAGAAAAAAGAUCCAACAUAUACUUUAACAUGAAUCCGGACCCAGACCCGAACCUGUAUUUUUGGAUCGGUUCUGAUUCAGAUCUUUCAAUCCGAGUAAAAUGUCCAUACCUAACAAAUCCAUCUAAUUCAACAGUAUAGAUUUUAUAUUGUUAAAUAAAACACAAAGAUAAAUUAUGAUUUUUUUAUGUUUCAAAUUUUAAAUUAUGCAUAAAUAUAAUCGUACACAUAUAAUAUUUAUGUUUAAGUGUAACUUAGAAACACAAUAUGAUUAUUAUUCUUUUGCUAGAUAUAGGAUAACAUAUUUUUAUCUUAGCCAUUAAAUUUUAAAAAAUAAAUUGUAAUGUUAUUUGUAGUAAUAGAUACAGUAUAACCUCUUUAAUAUUAAUACUCUAUAAAUUAAUAUACACUAAAAAUUUCUAUAAAAUAAUAUAAUUUUAUAGUCCCAAGUUGAGUUUUUGGUUCAAUUAGUAUAUCGAUAAAUUAAUAUCUCUAUAAAUUAAUAUCUCUAUAAAUUAAUAAAAAAAAUUAUAGUUUUGGUGUAGUUCAACAUUAUCAAUUUAUAGAGGUUUCAUUGUACUUUAUAAUAAUGUUUAUAAUUUUCAAUUAAAUUUUUAAUUACUUAUAUAAUUUAGAUUGGACUUUUUAAUGGGCCAAACCAAAAAUUUAUUAUAAUUUUGAAUACAAAUUAUCAAGAUGGGUUGUAUUUUGAAUACAAAAUGUUUAGCAAAGCCAGAAUUUUCAAAAUAGGCUCAAGCCCAGUCCAUGGUUUUGUUAUUUUCCAAUAGAGUCCAAGUAUUUUUUGUCAUGUUUCAGACAAAAUCUAGGUUUCUAAACAAAAAUAAACUCAAAUGGCGACUGAAGCAGAAGAAUCGGGUAUUCCACAAUUUGACUAAGCAUCAUUUCCAAGGUUUGCUCUUUUCCUGUAUUUUCAUUAUCGUUGAUAGAUAGUUGAACUCCAUGAUUCUACUAACCAAUUUAUUUUUUUGUUUUUAAUUUCUUUUGCAUGUACUGUCCCAUGGCUUAAAUGGAAUAGAUCCGAUGAAUUUGAAGCCAAUCUGAGGCAUUCAUAGAAAGAUUUUGGUGAGGUCAUUCAAUUAGGUAUUCAAUGAAAAAGUCUCCAAAGGUUUGUCUUCGAUUGCUAGUAAAUUGUUUCAUACCAUUGAUUGUUGAUCUUUUUUUUUGCUUGCAAGGAUCUAUGAAGUUAAUAUUCUGUGUCUUAAUUUUUUUUUAAAAUGUCUGUAAAAAUAUAUUUAUUUCUUUAAAUUUAGUUAUUAUUUUCCGGUUAAUUGGCUUUUCUUUGUUUUUGCGUCAACUAUUUUAGAAAACUAUUAUCCAAAAUGUUUAUUAUAUUUUUAACAGUUAUUUUGUAACAUAUUUAAAUAGCUAAUAUAAAUAAAUUAGAUAAUUUAAAAUUAAGUAAUUAAUAAAAAUAAAAUUAAUCUUUGUUAUAAAAUAUUUUUUUUAUUAAAUGUUACAGCCAUCUUCUUUUGUUUGGGUCUUUUGAUUUUUUUUAAUUAAAACAUAUUGGUUCAAGCCCAUUAAAUUUAUCGACAGAUAUAAAAAAAAAUUUCAGGUGUUCGACAAAAGAAAACAAAAAAUAUUCUCUCUCACCUGUCGGUUCCUUUGUCGCAAAGAGAAGAAGAUGGCUAUCUCCGACAGAAGGACUUAAUCCAAUCCUUAAUGGUAUGCAUGAUUUUGGCUUCAAUAAACCAAGUUGUUUUCAUGGCCUAAUCUCAUCAAGGUACACCAUCUUUUUUUUAGAAUACAUUAUAUGAGAAACGUAUAGAAAACAACAUUGCUUGCUUUGAGUCUAGAUGGCGUGUUUGCUUUGAAUCUAGAUGGUCGAUAUAUAUAAGAAAAUUUAAGGCAUGAGGUUCAGAAUAUUCUCAUUCAAAUAGUUAUAAAAUAGGGCCGUGAGUUUAGGAAAAUAUAUUAUCUCGACCUUCUAGUUUAUUAAAGUUAUGGAACAUUAGAUUUUCUGGUAUAUUAUUAUCGAUAUUUCAGUUACCAAAAUUCACGCUUUCUUGUUUUGAUUUUAUGUUAUUACAAUCAUCGAAGAUAUGGGACAAUAGGAUUGGCUGGGUGGGUAUUUAUGAUUUAGAUUAAUGGCAUUAUAUCGAUAUUUCAGUUACCAAAAUUCACUCUUUCUUGUUGUGAUUUAAUAUUUAUAUUUUCGGUUACUGAUGUGAAAAUCUUUGCAAAUUCAAUAAUUUGGCCGAGUAUAUUGCACAAUGGUUAAUCCCGUGAAGAUUCAAAACUAAUGCAUGCUGCUUUUAAAAUAUUUGGGGGUUUAGGGGUUGGUAUGAUUUGACAUUGCUUAAUUUUAAUAAAUCAAUGAAUAAAAAAGGAUUUGUGGUUUUGCGGGUUCGUCUGUAACUCAUACUAUGCAUAUAAAAAUGCAAGCUUACAAAUUUAUAAAAACGAAUCUGAACAUUAAUAAGUUUGAUAUUCAGGAGUUUGAAUAGUGCAACAUGUAUGUUUGAAGGGUGCAAUAGUUUGUAACCAAAACCUUGAUUGGAAGUGAUGAAUGGUCGAUACAUUGAUAUUAACAUAAUGUAUUUUUUAUUUUAAUUUGGAAGCUUGCAGAAUCCAAUAUUCGAGAGGGAAACCUUCAAACUUUAAUCGUUGAAGCUUCAGUGUCGAUGGAACAUCAUUAUCAAUAUACAAAGAUUUGGUAAAUGUACUGUGUAAGAAAUGAAAAUCAGUGUGUUAUAGCAAUUGAGUUUUUUAAAUUAUGUUCCAUCGUUUAAUAUGUAGAUGAAGCAUCGUCUAUUUUUUUCCAUUUAACAACGUUUACUAACUGAAAAAUGCAUCAAGAAGGUGUUAAUUUGAUAUGUAAUUAUACACAUAGUUUCGAUAGGCAGUAAAUGUAGUGUUGUUGUUUAAAUAAAAGAAAUCUCAGAAAAAUACAUAAUUAAAUUAAAAACAUAGCUUAAAAUAUUCCAGUGGCAGAAUCUGGUAAAUAUUGUUGAAAGAGAAGGGUACCUCAAAAAAGGGCCUUCUGUUUUAAUAGUAUUGAUGUAACUAUCAAUUUACAUUAAAAAUAAUGUAAUCAGUUUUUACUAUGAAAUGAGAUGAACCAAACUAUUUAUAAGAUAAUUAUAAUAAUUUGAAUGAUUUAUGUUUAAACCGGAUUCAAUGGUCAUAUGUUCAAAAUUUUAGAUUGAUUUUCACGUAUAUUGAUUAAAAAAAAACUAAAUCGGAAUAAAUUGUCACAAUCUUCUAUAUGUUAAUAUAAUUUUCCCUAAAAUAGAUAAUCAAUUAAUUUUAUCCAUAUUUGAAUUAAUACAGACUAAUCAAUAUUUUUGAAUUAUUCAUAUGAUCUAUAUUUUAACUAAUUCACAAAGUAAUAUUUUUCUCUUACAUUUUUAACAAUUAAUAUGAUAUAUUAGCAUAUAUAUAUGUAACAGAUUUAAUUGAUUAAAACUGAAUAUUACAUUAUACUUA